This 862-nucleotide ribosomal RNA is filed under the name uncultured bacterium. Its description in RNAcentral is "bacterial SSU rRNA". It matches the Rfam family "Bacterial small subunit ribosomal RNA", at positions 57 to 919 of the family's 1533-position model. The record is from RNAcentral.
GCAGUCGAACGAGAAUCUACUGAAGGAGGAUUCGUCCAACGGAAGUAGAGGAAAGUGGCGGACGGGUGAGUAACGCGUGAGGAACCUGCCUUGAAGAGGGGGACAACAGUUGGAAACGACUGCUAAUACCGCAUGAUGCAUAGGGGUCGCAUGAUCUUUAUGCCAAAGAUUUAUCGCUUCAAGAUGGCCUCGCGUCUGAUUAGCUGGUUGGCGGGGUAACGGCCCACCAAGGCGACGAUCAGUAGCCGGACUGAGAGGUUGAACGGCCACAUUGGGACUGAGAUACGGCCCAGACUCCUACGGGAGGCAGCAGUGGGGAAUAUUGGGCAAUGGGCGCAAGCCUGACCCAGCAACGCCGCGUGAAGGAAGAAGGCUUUCGGGUUGUAAACUUCUUUUAAGAGGGAAGAGCAGAAGACGGUACCUCUAGAAUAAGCCACGGCUAACUACGUGCCAGCAGCCGCGGUAAUACGUAGGUGGCAAGCGUUGUCCGGAUUUACUGGGUGUAAAGGGCGUGCAGCCGGGUCUGCAAGUCAGAUGUGAAAUCCAUGGGCUCAACCCAUGAACUGCACUUGAAACUGUAGAUCUUGAGUGUCGGAGGGGCAAUCGGAAUUCCUAGUGUAGCGGUGAAAUGCGUAGAUAUUAGGAGGAACACCAGUGGCGAAGGCGGAUUGCUGGACGAUAACUGACGGUGAGGCGCGAAAGUGUGGGGAGCAAACAGGAUUAGAUACCCUGGUAGUCCACACUGUAAACGAUGAAUACUAGGUGUGCGGGGACUGACCCCCUGCGUGCCGCAGUAAACACAAUAAGUAUUCCACCUGGGGAGUACGAUCGCAAGGUUGAAACUCAAAGGAAUUGACGGGGG